UUAACUGGAAAAUAGGAGAUUACACUUAGUAGAAUAUGAAAACACGCACACACAAACAAACAGAUAAGCUGUUCUUAGAGAGCACCAUAAUUUGAUUGAUUUCUAAAUCAACCCUUUUUGUUAAUGUAGGAAAGCAUGAUGUAGCCUCUCAUAUUAUAAUUAGAAGAAUAUUAAAGUUAUUCCCAUAAAGGCAAUUGACAUGCUAAACAUGAAUCAUUAAAAAAAAUGCAGAUAUAGAGUACUUUCAAGUAUGUGAACCACCAACUAAUAAGUGCAAGAAGAAACCUACUGUCAGCAGGUUCUGUUGACAAUAAAUUUGCGACAUGUGCUGCUGCAGCAUCCAAACCCUCUACAUCGUCAGGAGCAUCUUCUGAAAGGUCUCCCACAUCAAACCAUGCUGUGGAUGGGAAGCCUCCAAAUACAGUUAUAGGUUGAGUUGGAGCAGUUGGACAUAUCCAUUUAAUAUUUGGAAGAGGA
RNAcentral lists this unclassified non-coding RNA (477 nucleotides) under Hevea brasiliensis (rubber tree). Lineage: Eukaryota; Viridiplantae; Streptophyta; Magnoliopsida; Malpighiales; Euphorbiaceae. The record is from RNAcentral.